RNAcentral lists this long non-coding RNA (307 nucleotides) under Macaca mulatta (Rhesus monkey). RNAcentral describes it as "lncRNA (ENSMMUG00000053537.1)". The record is from RNAcentral. Lineage: Eukaryota; Metazoa; Chordata; Mammalia; Primates; Cercopithecidae.
AUCCAGAGAGUUUGCAGUAAUGACAGAAAGAGAAUUUGAUGCCUUUUGAUUUUCUUACAAUUCUUCUAAUCAGGAGAAGCAAAUACGUUUCGAUGUGCCCAUUAGUUAAAGAGGAGCUGUAGCUGCAAGCAGCACGUCUCUGAGAACUUGGCACUUAGUGGUAUCAGCAAGGCAAAGCCCUUGGGACCAUGUGGCUUACACCUGCAGCCGUCACACUCUAUCCUCAACUUUUAGGAAAAGGAGUUUGAAGGGCAUUUCAGCACCUAGCCCUGCCUGUGGGCCCUGUGGACCACGACACAGCCUCUAA